This 373-nucleotide ribosomal RNA is filed under the name uncultured Desulfobulbus sp. RNAcentral's name for it is "bacterial SSU rRNA". It matches the Rfam family "Bacterial small subunit ribosomal RNA", at positions 1011 to 1382 of the family's 1533-position model. Lineage: Bacteria; Pseudomonadati; Thermodesulfobacteriota; Desulfobulbia; Desulfobulbales; Desulfobulbaceae. The record is from RNAcentral.
UGGCUUCCAUCUGAAGAAUCUGGAGACAGGUGCUGCAUGGCUGUCGUCAGCUCGUGUCGUGAGAUGUUGGGUUAAGUCCCGCAACGAGCGCAACCCUUGCCUUUAGUUGCCAGCAGUUCGGCUGGGCACUCUAAAGGGACUGCCGGUGUUAAACCGGAGGAAGGUGGGGAUGACGUCAAGUCCUCAUGGCCUUUAUGACCAGGGCUACACACGUACUACAAUGGCCGAUACAAAGGGCAGCGACACUGCGAGGUGAAGCCAAUCCCGUAAAAUCGGUCUCAGUCCGGAUUGGAGUCUGCAACUCGACUCCAUGAAGUUGGAAUCGCUAGUAAUCGUGGAUCAGCAUGCCACGGUGAAUACGUUCCCGGGCCUU